UGAUCAAAAGCAAAACCUUUGUGAAUCGGAUUGUUCUUCAGUUAAGAACAUUCUGAUUCACAAAGGUUUUGCUUCUUAUCACA
RNAcentral lists this microRNA precursor (83 nucleotides) under Schmidtea mediterranea. RNAcentral describes it as "microRNA sme-mir-2176 precursor". Lineage: Eukaryota; Metazoa; Platyhelminthes; Tricladida; Dugesiidae. The record is from miRBase by way of RNAcentral.